GGGCCCGCACAAGCGGUGGAGUAUGUGGUUUAAUUCGAUGCAACGCGAAGAACCUUACCAGGGUUUGACAUCCUGCGAAUUUCUGGGAAACCGGAAAGUGCCUUUCGGGAGCGCAGUGACAGGUGGUGCAUGGCUGUCGUCAGCUCGUGUCGUGAGAUGUUGGUUAAGUCCCGCAACGAGCGCAACCCACGUCUUUAGUUGCCAGCAUUUAGUUGGGCACUCUAGAGAGACCGCCGGUGAUAAACCGGAGGAAGGUGUGGAUGACGUCAAGUCAUCAUGCCCCUUACAUCCUGGGCUACACACGUACUACAAUGGCCGGUACAGAAAGCAGCCACUAUGCGAAUAG
This 346-nucleotide ribosomal RNA is filed under the name uncultured bacterium. Its description in RNAcentral is "bacterial SSU rRNA". It matches the Rfam family "Bacterial small subunit ribosomal RNA", at positions 917 to 1264 of the family's 1533-position model. The record is from RNAcentral.